RNAcentral lists this long non-coding RNA (508 nucleotides) under Equus caballus (horse). RNAcentral describes it as "lncRNA (ENSECAG00000054050.1)". The record is from RNAcentral. Lineage: Eukaryota; Metazoa; Chordata; Mammalia; Perissodactyla; Equidae.
GUUUACCUCCUUUGAGCUGGGCUCAGCCUUGCGCCAGUGAACUGUGGUGCAGUUUCCUCGUCUAUAAAGCACUGAGAAGAAUGCCUGGCUACUCAGAAGACUCAGGGGAGGAUUAAGCGGCACAGUCACUGUGAAGCCUGUCUCCAGGGCCCACACCUGUUGAUACCCAGCAAGCAGUGAUGCUGAUGCUGAUGCUGAUGCUGAUGCUGAUGAAGUCAUUUUGUAGGUUAGAUGUGAAGAGCGAAAGCUUGAAGAUCAUCAACAGGCCAUUCGUUCAAGCCUGGGUGUGAGAAGCCGGAUCUGGGUGGUGGCUGUGAACAGAGAGGAAGGGACACCAGAAAGGAAGAAAGAAGGAGAAUGUACACCACCAAGAGUGAGCCCUAAUGUAAACUACGGACUUCGGGUGGUGAUGACACGACAAUGUAGGUUCAUUGAGGGUAACAAAUGCACCACUCUGGUGGGGGACGUUGACGGUGGGGAUGUUGUACACGUACAGGGCAGAUGGAAC